Canis lupus familiaris (dog) is the source of this 5964-nucleotide long non-coding RNA. RefSeq lists it as uncharacterized. The transcript is spliced from 3 exons. NCBI's taxonomy places the organism in Eukaryota, Metazoa, Chordata, Mammalia, Carnivora, Canidae. The record is from RefSeq and is a predicted model, not a curated record.
UCUGUCUCUCUAAAUAAAAUUUAAAAAAAGAUUUUAUUAUCUUAUCCUGUACUCACCCUUCUUCUUGUGAUGAUGUGAGAUGAUCAAAUGCCUAUGUGAUGAAAUGAAGUGAUAUGAAUGACAUAGGAUAGGCCUUAUGACGGAGUGGUAGGCUAUUACUGACCUUCUGACAAUGGGUCAGAAAGAGGACCAUCUGCCUCCAGACCACAGCUGACUGCCAGUAACUGCAACCACUUUAUGCAGAGACAAUGGUACAUACAGCUCAUGACCAGUGCUUGCAAGAACAACAUCUUACUCAAUUACAAGGUGUGCUCUAUACGUUAUUACUACAGUUGUUGGUUGAUUUUACUUGGCCCACUUUGAAUGUCAGUUCAACAAAAACAUUUUUUCUAUGUAAGUACUGGGUGUACAGUGAUGGAUUUAACAAAUCUCUGCUUGUGUGGAGUUUAGAGUUUUGUGAGAUCAAUACCAUAUUUCACAAACUGUGUAUAUCUAACGCAGUCUUUUUGAAGUUUUUCUGUCACGAUAAUGUUCUUUAUAAUUUUUUUUCCUUUUCUAAUACAGAAUCCAAUCCAGGAUCACACACUGUAUUUAGUUGUCAUACUCCAGUUUCCAUAAUUGGGAACAGGUGUCCGGUGUUCCUUUGGCUUUUUUUUCCAAAGCGGUGCCCGUUUUGAUUUUUGCAGACUAUAGGCCAACUUGCCUUGAAAAUAUGUCUCGGUUUGUGAAAUACAGGUUUGUCUAACUCACCAUGUGCCGUGUUGGACAUGACUCAGAUUCACCUGGAACUCAGUGAAUGUCAAUUCAAGAACGACUUUUUAAAAACACCAGAUGGGAUCUCUGACUUUGUUGGAGGACAGAAGGAUAUGGUUUCAAUGUGCUUGUAUACUAAACAAGUUAACAUACCCUUUCAAAUCUCUAUUUAGAAAACUGCAGUUUUUGGCAAAAGGCAAGAAAUACAUUUCUUAAAAGAUUUUAUUUAUUUAUUCAUGAAAGACACAGAGAGAGAGAGAGAGAGAGAGAGAGAGACAGGCAGAGGGAGAAGCAGGCUCCAUGCAGGGAGCCCGACAUGAGACUCGAUUCUGGGUCUCCAGAAUCAUGCCCUGGGCCAAAGGCAGGUGCCAAACUGCUGAGCCACCCAGGGAUCCCCCAAGGCAAGAAAUAUUAACAAAGUAUAAGACUUGGCAGCUCUCCUUAUAAUUCCUCUUUAUCUCAGCCACUGGGUUGUGAAGGGCCAAUGCUAUUUAUAACUACAGCUUGUUUCCAACUAAUUUCUACUCACCUUCAGUUGCACUUCCUCUUUUGGCAAAACAAGGGUGAAGUUUGCACAAUUCUUUUCAGUUGAAUUCUGGUCAGUAAGGCACGUGAGGUCUAUUAUGUCUAACUUGUCAACAUACUACAAAGGUAAAGGAAAUCUCAUUAAAUUAUUUCAGGGGUAACAUACAUUAGGUAGCAGGCGGAAAUAUAAGUAAUCUCUUCCUCUCAACUGAUUUAUACCUUGAAUGAUAUCCUGGUUUUCAACUGGGCAUUGCAACCCUUUAAAUCCAGAGGGCAUUUGGAAAAUGUAUUAUGUGGUGGUCCACUGGACCUGACUCUUACAGGUUUGCAAAAGCUGAUUUUUUUAAUGUCUAGGAAUUUUGCAAGCCAGCAACUACACACAGCCAUUAUUAAAAAUUAAAUUAUAUAAACAUAUAAUUAUUUUUAAAAUAUACUUAAAAUUCAAAACUCAGUAUUUUCUAAUUAUAUUACUAAAGUGUAUUCACUAUGCUCUCGAGGUAAUUUACAUCUUCAUUUCUGUUUGUACUGUACCUUCCCAAUUCAGCAAGGUCACAUUGAUAGGUUGAAAUCAGCUAUGGUGGGAGUAUUUACAUCAUGGAAAUUGGCAAACCUCACAAAUUAGGGCUUGAUUUACUUUAAAAUUGUUAAUAAUUUUUAACAAUUGUUAAAACUUUUUACAAUUACUUUACAAUUGUCAGUUGUCCUAGAGGCCAGCAAUUUAUUUUUUUCUGCAAAGGCUAGAUAGUAAAUGCUUCUGGCUUUGUGGACCACACAGGGUCUCUGUUGCAAAUUCUUGUUGUUGUUGUUGUUGUUGUUAUUUUAAUACACACUUUAAAAAUGUCAAAAAAAUAUUUUUAGCUGAUAGACUGUACAAAAUCAGGCCACAGGCAAAAUUUGACUCAAGGGCCACAGUUUGCUGGACUCUGAUUGAGACAUAAGAAAGUAAAGGAGAAAAUGUUAAUAAUACAGAUGAAAUUUUAAAGUCUGUUUUGUCUGAAACUUUUUCAUUGUUAACAGAACAAAAGAUUGACAAAAUAUUCUUCAUUAAUUCAAAAACUCUUGUUACUCCACAAAGAUCUUGCCCCAUCAUUGAAAAAUAGGUGAAGUUCUGAUAUGCAUAAGUAUUGCUUUGCUUUCCUCUUAUUCAUUGAUGUAAACAAAAAUAUCAGCCAAUAUUUGUGUGAAAUGUCAUAUUUAAUGACAAUACAUUUAUUAGGGAAAUGGCAGAUUGGACAACUCCAUUUAUCAAAUCAUGAUUGAACUGCAAACAUAGUUGCCUGUGGAUCCGAGUUCAGAAAAAUCAGUGAAAAUAGUCUGUGAGAAUCAUUUGCUUAUAUGGAAAUUACAAUAAAGAAUAUUGUGUAUUCUAUUUUUUUAACUGUGUGCUACACAUUCCUUAUAUCAGUCAUGUUUAUAAUAAACUUAUGUACAUAUAUUCAUACAUAUAAUUCUUUCCAGAAUGCCGUUGUUUGAUGCUUAUUAUGUGCCACUGGUUAUGAGGAUCCUAUUAAGAAAUUCCUAUCUUAUCCCAGUACAAUAAAAAUAUUUCUUCUGAACGAUUGUUAUAUAUGGACUGGUCUGUACUCAACUGACCAGACUUGCUUUUUAGUAUUAGAUCAGAACCACCUCCAGUAACUGUAGUAGAGUUUUCAUCAUAAUUUUUUUUCCUGAAUUAGCCUCAUUCUUGACUUCUUUUUAUUUUCCUCUGUUUUGCCCAAUAUAACUUAUUUUUGCCAUGUUAUUUUAUGUCUCCUUAUUUUAUUUUUCUGAAUAAAGUAAGGCAUAAAAAUAAGUAAAUUUUUUUCCAGACUGAUUCCUAUAUUGAUGAAGUUGAGGGCAAUUUGGGUUGACCUAUUUAUUUUCAAUGAAGAAAGAGCAGUUAAAAAUGGAAGGAAAAGUAUAAGAGAAGCAGGACAGAAUUUCAAAUUACACAGAAUCUUUUUCUGAUAGAUUGUCUAGAUCAAGCUAAGUGAAUUUUACUGAGACAAAGAAGGAAGCAACAGAGGAAGAGGUGGCCAAAUUAGAUAGCCAUAAACUGAUCUAUUGAUUAGAAGAAAGGAAGUUAUAUCUUUUUUUUUUUUUUAAUUUUAGUGCUGAAAAGAGCCUUAAAGGUCAUCUGUUUAAUCUACUGCCAUCUGAUGUUUGAAUCUCCUUCAGAGUAUCCCCCCAUAUAGCCAUCCUGUCUGUACUGGAGUAUCUCAAACAACAUGAAACUCAUGCCUGCUAUGCCACGCUGCCUGCUAUGCUCUGUACCAGAAGACAGACCGAGGAGGACAACAUCAAGGACCCUCUCACCCUCUGACUUCCCAUUGGGUUGGACUCUGGUCAGAAGACCGAGGAGGGUCUGGACAUGUAAUAAUGAUGUGCUAAGAACUGUGGGCUACUACAUCCAUGGACCAAAAUGUUUAUAUUUAAACAAGUGACUAGAUCAUAAUAUCCCCUAUGGGCAUAGCAAGGUAGGCAAGCAUUUGGCAUGAAAAUACAUUUUAUUUGUGGAAAAAACUGAAAUACACAGUUGUCAAUGUUUGUGGGAAGUUGAAAUAUAAGUCAAUUAUUUGAGAUGAAUACUAAUAAAUAAAUCUCAGAAUCUAUUGUUAUUCUCAUGCUUAAGCUCUUAGAAGUCCUUUUUUACUUAUGUUUUUGUCUCCCUAUAGGAAAAUCAAAUUGUGACAUAUUUUAUAUUACAAGGCCUUGGGGGUCAUCUAUUUCCUUUCAGAUCAUAACUGCAUGCUACAACAAGAUAAAAAGAUGGGGGGAAAUUAAGGCUAUUUCAUGGCUUUAAACAAGUUGUAUCCAGGUAUCUGGCUAAAAUUUUCAGAUUUUGGGGUGCCUCGGUGGCUCAGUUGGCUAAGCUUCUGCCUUCAGCUCAGGUCAUGAUCUCAGAGCCCUGGGCUCCCUGCUCAGCGAGAGGUCUGCUUCUCCCUCUCACUCUGCCCCUUCCCCUGCUUGUGCCCUCUCUUUCUCUUUCUCUCUCCCUCCCUCUCAAAUAAAUGAAUAAAUAAAAUCUUCAAAGAAAUAAAAUUUUCACAUUUCAGCUAAGCUUCUAUUAUUGGGAUCAGAAAGAAAAAACGCAAAGACAUGAGUUUAUGCCUUCUCUUAGGUGCCAUGGAAAUUUUACUGUGAAUCUUAUAGGUCUUAUAGCUGAUAGCCCCCACAGACAUAAUGUUCUUAUUUGAAUUACUUUGACUAGAAUAUCUUUACUCUCGGAAGACAGAAAACCCCAAAUGAAUAAAACUAUUGACAAGUCUAUAUUAGGAAAAAAUGAAUCAGCUGAAUAUGUUUAACUACUUACUUUUGGGCUUUUUUUGUCAGAAUAAAAGAAAAGCGUAGUUCCUCUCAACUCUGUCCAAUAAUGUUUAUAUUCCUGUGGGAAAUAAAUUAUAAGCAUUAUUUCAUUGGUCUAAAUUCAACUAGUUUCCUAUUAAUAUUUUUCCUUAUAACUUUCUUAAUUGCUGUUGGAUAUAAGGUUCCUUUUUUUUAAAAUUUUUUUUAUUUAUUUAUGAUAGUCACACAGAGAGAGAGAGAGGCAGAGACACAGGCAGAGGGAGAAGCAGGCUCCAUGCACCGGGAGCCCGACGUGGGAUUCGAUCCCGGGUCUCUAGGAUCGCGCCCUGGGCCAAAGGCAGGCGCUAAACCGCUGCGCCACCCAGGGAUCCCAAGAUUCCUUUUUAUCUUGAGAUAAAUCACCUAAUUUUACGGCUUAAUUUUGCAUCUAACUCGAUCACAUCCUUCACAAAUUUAUCUUAGUAUAAGGUGAGAGGUAAGGAUGUAAUUUGAUUUGUGUUUAAAUAGAUAAUUUUUCUAAACUUUCCCCAUUGAUUUAAGAUACUUGACUUUUUUGUAGGUUUCAGUGGAAGCUUGCACCUGUAAGAGGGCUCAUUUAAGGGACCAGGAUAGGACAAGCAUUAAAUAUCUACAUUGAAUGGCUUGGUGAAUGUAAAGCACUUAGCAGUGUACAUGGCUCAUAGUUUCAGUUCUAGAAACAGUAUAUGUUUAUAUAAAUAAAGGCAAUGUGAACAGUUCAUAGUCAUAAAAAUAAUUUCACAUCAUCAGAGCUAAACUUUGAAGUCUGAAUUUCAUUCAUGUGGUGAACAUUUCAUUAUUGCUGCAUUAUUAUGGGGCUAUGGAAAUACAACUCUUUAGUUUAAAAAAUUUAAAUAACCUAGUCUCAUUUCACUCAAGCGAAAGUUUAUUUAAAUGAGAGGAAAUUACAUUUUAUAUGAAGACUGGCUCUAUUACUGAAGAAUGGCAAAGGGGUUUUGAGAAUAAAAUCCUUCCACAUCUAUAGACCUUCAUAACCAGCUGUUUCCAAAAGUAUGUUUUUUAAAAAUUCCAGUUUCAUAGACAUGUUGGUCAUUCCUUCCUUUAGGGUUUAAUAAGCUCAAUUUUUAUGCCAUGUUGGAUUAUCUUGACUUAUAUUAAGGCUUAAUAAAAGAGAAUUACAUGACUUCUUUUGCUUAUGAAAUGUGAAGACACUUUUAUAUAUUAUGGUAUUUUGUGUCUCUUUAAAUGCUGACAUAUCGUUUGUCCUUUUUUUUGACCAGCAAAAUAAAAUGUUUGUCACCUCUUCAGAAUUUAUAUAUUUCUUUUCUCAAAUAAUGGCAAUUCUAUAACCCAUCUUGUUUUUAUUUGUCUUGGCUUCCCGGAAGCUCAAGAUUAAAUUCAUUUUGAAUUACAACAACCAUC